AGCCUCCACCCCGAUCACAUCCUCUCUCCGUCACCCAUUGUCUCCCGGUCUCCUCCGUCGGUCGUCACCUCUCUGUCGGCUGUUGCUGGUUGGCUAGGGUUCGGCCGCGGGGCCGCCGCCAUCCUCAGCCCGCCAGUUCCUUUGCGUCCCCAACUCCUCCCCCGCUCCCAUGACGUCUGCCUCGCACCGCGGCGGCCAAGGGUUCGGCAGCGGCGGCGCCAACGUUGUAAAUGGCGUCGCGGCGGCGAGGGGGCUUCCCUCCCUAAACCCUCACGUGUCCUGACCACUCACGCGCCGCAAGAUCAGUCCCCUCCUCUGCGACAGCAGCAAGGGCUGUUGUUGGCCAGCGACCUGUACCGCAUCCACCGCAGGUGCACAAAACCCUAAAGCUCCCGCGCCUCUCCCCCUUCCCACCGGCCUUGCCCCUCUCUCCCCCGGCGUGACUGCGUCCUCACUACCUCUAGGGCUGCAGCACCGGCCACUCUGGAAGGCAGAGAAACAGGAAGAAGACAGAGGGGAGGAAGUGGCCAUGGAGGAGCAACAGGAAGUAGGAGCACCGGGAUGAUAAGAAGGUGAUGAUUCUACCCAGUGAUUUGGUAGAAACUGUUCACCUCCUGCUGAAUCGAGAGUAGGUAGCGGAAGUCUGCUUGACGUGUCCAAAAAUAAUUUGUGUUUUUCAUAUGGAACGACAUUGCUUUCAGUCUUCCAGAUUGCUAUUGUUUGGUUAAUAUGUUAAAGCAACUUCUUCCUCAUGACUGUUGUACCAAGGAAGAAGCUCCUGACCACUGGAGACUGAUAAAACUCUUCUUCCCGGCCUUGAGGAAGAUGUUAGAGUGGAACGAAUGAAGUUUAGUCCGGUUGACAAUGUCAAGCCUGGCAUGACAUAUCCUUCUCGACGUUUGAAAUCUCCGUGGACUACUACAAGCCGUCUUGUGGUGCUGUGGUAAAGCUUAGUGCAAACAUCAUACAGUAUUAUAUUUUCUCCUUUUCUUUAAAGAUAUGAGUGAUGAUUUUUGUAAUCUACUCAAUAAUUUGAAGGAAUACAGAACUUGGAGUUGAACUGUAAUCCGAGCCAGUCGAUUUUCUAUAUACAUGUUUUCUCCCCACUUUUUAUGACAAUUUUCAAAUUAUUUA
This is a long non-coding RNA of Brachypodium distachyon (stiff brome), 1134 nucleotides long. RefSeq lists it as uncharacterized. The record is from RefSeq and is a predicted model, not a curated record. The transcript is spliced from 3 exons. Lineage: Eukaryota; Viridiplantae; Streptophyta; Magnoliopsida; Poales; Poaceae.